AACCCAUGGUGAGAGCACCUUUUGAAAAGGUCCUUGUAUCUCUCCCAUGCAUCGUUGAGUGUUUCUAAAUCCAUCUGCACAAAAGAAGAGAUACCAUUAGGUAAUUUGGUU
Non-coding RNA from Gossypium hirsutum (cotton), 111 nucleotides. NCBI's taxonomy places the organism in Eukaryota, Viridiplantae, Streptophyta, Magnoliopsida, Malvales, Malvaceae. The record is from Rfam.